CCUCCUUUUUUCCGCCGUCGGGCCUCUUGCUCCCUGGGGGCCCCCCUGCCGCAGCAACGCCGCGUGGAGGAUGAAGGUUUUCGGAUUGUAAACUCCUUUUGUUAGAGAAGAUAAUGACGGUAUCUAACGAAUAAGCACCGGCUAACUCCGUGCCAGCAGCCGCGGUAAUACGGAGGGUGCAAGCGUUACUCGGAAUCACUGGGCGUAAAGAGCGCGUAGGCGGGAUAGCAAGUCAGAUGUGAAAUCCUAUGGCUUAACCAUGGAACUGCAUUUGAAACUGUUAUUCUAGAGUAUGGGAGAGGUAGGUGGAAUUCUUGGUGUAGGGGUAAAAUCCGUAGAGAUCAAGAGGAAUACUCAUUGCGAAGGCGACCUGCUAGAACAUAACUGACGCUGAUGCGCGAAAGCGUGGGGAGCAAACAGGAUUAGAUACCCCAGUAGUC
Molecule: ribosomal RNA, 440 nt
Filed under: uncultured bacterium
Lineage: Bacteria
Description: partial 16S ribosomal RNA
Rfam family: Bacterial small subunit ribosomal RNA
Source: RNAcentral